RNAcentral lists this ribosomal RNA (229 nucleotides) under uncultured bacterium. Its description in RNAcentral is "partial 16S ribosomal RNA". It matches the Rfam family "Bacterial small subunit ribosomal RNA", at positions 568 to 796 of the family's 1533-position model. The record is from RNAcentral.
UGCGCAGGCGGACUCGUAAGUCAGUGGUGAAAGCCCGGGGCUCAACCCCGGAACUGCCAUUGAUACUGCUUGUCUUGAGUAUAGUUGAAGUGGGCGGAAUGUGUAAUGUAGCGGUGAAAUGCAUAGAGAUUACACAGAACACCAAUUGCGAAGGCAGCUCACUAAGCUAAAACUGACGCUGAGGCACGAAAGCGUGGGGAGCGAACAGGAUUAGAUACCCUGGUAGUCC